GAUGAAGACGUAGCGAAAUGCGAUAAGUAAUGUGAAUUGCAGAAUUCAGUGAAUCAUCGAAUCUUUGAACGCACAUUGCGCCCGCCAGUAUUCUGGCGGGCAUGCCUGUUCGAGCGUCAUUACAACCCUCAGGCCCCCGGGCCUGGCGUUGGGGAUCGGCGGAGCCCCCCGUGGGCACACGCCGUCCCCCAAAUACAGUGGCGGUCCCGCCGCAGCUUCCAUCGCGUAGUAGCUAACACCUCGCGACUGGAGAGCGGCGCGGCCACGCCGUAAAACACCCAACUCUUCUGAAGUUGACCUCGAAUCAGGUAGGAAUACCCGCUGAACUUAAGCAUAUCAAUAAGCGGAGGA
This 351-nucleotide unclassified non-coding RNA is filed under the name soil metagenome. RNAcentral's name for it is "partial contains 5.8S ribosomal RNA, internal transcribed spacer 2, and large subunit ribosomal RNA". The stretch from base 1 to 119 matches the Rfam family "5.8S ribosomal RNA", at positions 35 to 154 of the family's 154-position model. The record is from RNAcentral.